RNAcentral lists this ribosomal RNA (255 nucleotides) under uncultured bacterium. Its description in RNAcentral is "partial 16S ribosomal RNA". It matches the Rfam family "Bacterial small subunit ribosomal RNA", at positions 85 to 354 of the family's 1533-position model. The record is from RNAcentral.
UAAUUCUCUAGUGGCGCACGGGUGAGUAACACGUGAGUAACCUGCCCCCGAGAGCGGGAUAGCCCUGGGAAACUGGGAUUAAUACCGCAUAGUAUCGAAAGAUUAAAGCAGCAAUGCGCUUGGGGAUGGGCUCGCGGCCUAUUAGUUAGUUGGUGAGGUAACGGCUCACCAAGGCGAUGACGGGUAGCCGGUAUGAGAGGAUGUCCGGCCACACUGGAACUGAGACACGGUCCAGACACCUACGGGAGGCAGCAG